GGCGGCCCGAGUGGUGAUCGUGAUUAUUGGGUCUAAAGGGUCCGUAGCCGGUUUGGUCAGUCCUCCGGGAAAUCUGACAGCUCAACUGUUAGGCUUUCGGGGGAUACUGCCAGACUUGGAACCGGGAGAGGUAAGAGGUACUACAGGGGUAGGAGUGAAAUCUUGUAAUCCCUGUGGGACCACCUGUGGCGAAGGCGUCUUACCAGAACGGGUUCGACGGUGAGGGACGAAAGCUGGGGGCACGAACCG
RNAcentral lists this ribosomal RNA (249 nucleotides) under uncultured euryarchaeote. Its description in RNAcentral is "partial 16S ribosomal RNA". It matches the Rfam family "Archaeal small subunit ribosomal RNA", at positions 478 to 726 of the family's 1478-position model. The record is from RNAcentral. Lineage: Archaea; Methanobacteriati; Methanobacteriota.